Molecule: small RNA, 540 nt
Filed under: Pan troglodytes (chimpanzee)
Lineage: Eukaryota; Metazoa; Chordata; Mammalia; Primates; Hominidae
Description: processed transcript
Source: RNAcentral
ACUGUGUACAAGAGCUGCCUUCAGCCAAGAGCAAUUCCUAGAGAGGGACUCAGAAUGAGCCAUAAGUAACUGACAUAUGUGGAGCUGCGGAGCUGAGAGCCUAGGUGCUGAAGGCAUGAUCUAGGCUUGAAUAACAUUCCAAUCUGUACUGUGAAUGAUGAUGAGAAUGCAUUUGGAACAUUGUGGGGAGUUGGCCAGUCUAACUACUUAGAGAAGAACAGGAUACCAUUUGCCAAUUGCAGUUACCCACCCAGCACUGCAGUUCAGGAGAGCCCUGUAAGAGGAGUGUCGCCAGCCCCAAACGGUGCCAAAGUGCCUCCACGGCCUCAUUCUGAGCCCAGUAGAAAAAUUAAAGAGUGCUUCAAAACUUCCAGUGAGAAUCCCUUAGUAAUUAAAAAGGAAGAAAUUAAGGCCAAAAGACCACCAUCACCUCCAAAGGCAUGCUCUACUCCUGGCUCCUGUUCUUCAGGGAUGACAAGUACCAAGAAUGAUGUGAAAGCAAACACCAUUUGCAUACCAAACUAUCUGGAUCAGGAAAUA